This 499-nucleotide ribosomal RNA is filed under the name uncultured Mucilaginibacter sp. RNAcentral's name for it is "bacterial SSU rRNA". It matches the Rfam family "Bacterial small subunit ribosomal RNA", at positions 11 to 507 of the family's 1533-position model. The record is from RNAcentral. Lineage: Bacteria; Pseudomonadati; Bacteroidota; Sphingobacteriia; Sphingobacteriales; Sphingobacteriaceae.
UUUAGAUCCUGGCUCAGGAUGAACGCUAGCGGCAGGCCUAAUACAUGCAAGUCGAACGGGAUUGAGAAGCUUGCUUUUCAUGAGAGUGGCGCACGGGUGCGUAACACGUAUGUAACCUACCUUAAUCUGGGGGAUAGCCUCUCGAAAGAGAGAUUAGCACCGCAUAACAUUAUCGGACAGCAUUUUCUGAUAAUCAAAUAUUUAUAGGAUUAAGAUGGGCAUGCGGAACAUUAGCUAGUUGGUAAGGUAAUGGCUUACCAAGGCUACGAUGUUUAGGGGAUCUGAGAGGAUGACCCCCCACACUGGUACUGAGACACGGACCAGACUCCUACGGGAGGCAGCAGUAAGGAAUAUUGGUCAAUGGGCGCAAGCCUGAACCAGCCAUGCCGCGUGCAGGAAGACGGCCCUACGGGUUGUAAACUGCUUUUGUACCGGAAUAAACCUUUUCACGUGUGAGAAGCUGAAUGUACGGUAAGAAUAAGGAUCGGCUAACUCCGUG